RNAcentral lists this ribosomal RNA (238 nucleotides) under uncultured bacterium. Its description in RNAcentral is "partial 16S ribosomal RNA". It matches the Rfam family "Bacterial small subunit ribosomal RNA", at positions 96 to 334 of the family's 1533-position model. The record is from RNAcentral.
UGGCGGACGGGUGAGUAACGCGUGGGUAACCUGCCUCAUACAGGGGGAUAACGGUUAGAAAUGACUGCUAAUACCGCAUAAGCGCACAGUACCACAUGGUACAGUGUGAAAAACUCCGGUGGUAUGAGAUGGACCCGCGUCUGAUUAGGUAGUUGGUGGGGUAACGGCCUACCAAGCCGACGAUCAGUAGCCGACCUGAGAGGGUGACCGGCCACAUUGGGACUGAGACACGGCCCAG